GACGAACCGUGCGAACGUUAUUCGGAAUCACUGGGCUUAAAGCGCGUGUAGGCGGGCCGCCGCGUCGGCUGCUGAAAUCCCCCGGCUCAACCGGGGAACGGGCACCGAUACGGGCGGCCUCGAGGGGGGUAGGGGGGGUCUGGGAACUUCCGGUGGAGCGGUGGAAUGCGCAGAUAUCAGGAGGAGCACCGGUGGCGAAGGCGGGUCUCUGGGGCGAGUGAACUGACGCUGGAGGAGCGAAAGCGUGGGGGAGCGAACAGGA
Molecule: ribosomal RNA, 262 nt
Filed under: uncultured bacterium
Lineage: Bacteria
Description: partial 16S ribosomal RNA
Rfam family: Bacterial small subunit ribosomal RNA
Source: RNAcentral